RNAcentral lists this long non-coding RNA (1542 nucleotides) under Homo sapiens (human). Its description in RNAcentral is "novel transcript". The record is from RNAcentral. Lineage: Eukaryota; Metazoa; Chordata; Mammalia; Primates; Hominidae.
AGAUAUCAGUUUCUCAGAAGCUGGUGUUCCAAGAAGCUAGAAUGACAGACUCAUUUCUCGCUCCUUUCUCCUUCCCUCUUGAAGGAGAAGCCUUGAGUUGUGCAUCUUCUCUUGAUUUUACUGAGGUAUGGUAGCUAUAGCAAACUGCCUACUGCCUUUUUUUUUAACUUUUGCUCUCAGUGGCUCCAAGGCAUCGAAACUAUGCUAGUUCCAUGAGUGCUCCAAGUGAGGCAAGACAGAGACUAGUCCCUUGGGCAGCCCUCUGAAGAGCCAGAAUGCCAACACAUGCUCCACUCUUCUCCCUCCUUGCCAAGGAAGAAGUCUUAACUUGUGCACUUCCUCCCCCAAUUGUGCCAUGCUGUGCCAACCAUAUCAAGCCACCUGCUGCUUUCCAUUGUCCUCAGUGACCCCCAGACAUUCAAAUUAUGCUAGUUCUGUGGGCACACCAAUCAAGGAAGUAAGAGACCUGUUUCUUGGGCAGCUCUCUGAAAAGCUGGAAUGUUGGAGGCAUGCUCUAUUCUUUUCUCCCAGAGGAAAAAGAUGUGAAGAGGCAUUCUGUCUUGGCACUGAGCUGUGCUAACUUGGGGGAGAGGCUGAUGCAGAUAGUAUUUGUUUUACUCUGAUGAUCCCAUGGAGUCUCUGCUAUAAGCUACAAGGAAGAUUUUGUGAGUUCAGCCAAGAACGAGAGCUUCGGAGCCUUCAGGAAAAGGCUUGUACUGCAACCUGUUGACUUAUCAAAGCUGAUCUGAUAUUGAUUAGAGCAGGGAUCAGCAAAGGAUGGCCUGCUUCCCCGGAAAGACACUGCCUGUUUUUGUAAAUGUUUUAUUGAAGCACAACAUGUCCACUUACAUUUGUAUUGUCUUUUGUGACUUUUCUUUUGCUAAAAUGGCAGAGCUCAGUAGUUGUGACAGAGAGAAUCUGGCCUGCAAAUUAUUAUUUUUUCUUUUUCUCUUGCCCAUGCUGCAGUGCAGUCACAGCUCACUGCAGCCUUGAACUCCUGGUCUCAAGAGAUCCUCCUGCCUCAGCCUUCUGAGUAGCCAGGAUUGUAGGCACAUGCCAUCAUGCUCAGCUAAUUUUUUAAUUUUUUGUAGAGACUAAAUCUUGCUUUGUUGUCCAGGCUAGUCUUGAACUCCUGGGCUCAAGGUGCUCUCCCACUUCAGCCUCCCAAAGCACCAUUAUUACAGAUGUGAGCCAUUGCUCCUGGCCUGGCCUGCAAAUUCUAAAAUAGUUACUCUCUGAGAUUUUACAGAGAUAAUUUGCUCUCAGAUUCUACCAGUGGAUGGGGCUGGGUUUCUCGUAUUAUUUUAGGUUGAAAACUAGACAGCUUUGUGAAACUGGUAACACAAGAUUCAGCAGCACAAGAAUUAAUUAAAUAUAUCUAAAUGAGCUAAUGAGGAAAUUUUUAUUGUAAUAAUUUGUUUGUUUGAAAUAGUGUUGUUUUGUUUUUCUAUUUUUUGAAUAUAUGAGGAAGUCCUAUCUUUUCUUAAGCCAUUAACAACCCACAGAAGUUUAAUAAACUGCUUUCGUAAACUGAAAAAAAAA